This 88-nucleotide transfer RNA is filed under the name bacterium. RNAcentral's name for it is "tRNA-Ser". It matches the Rfam family "tRNA". From Rfam's summary of the family: Transfer RNA (tRNA) molecules are approximately 80 nucleotides in length. Their secondary structure includes four short double-helical elements and three loops (D, anti-codon, and T loops). The record is from RNAcentral. RNAcentral also lists the same sequence under 1 other name.
GGAGAGGUGGGAGAGUGGCUGAUUCCAGCUGCCUGCUAAGCAGUUGUACCUCAAAAGGGUACCGAGGGUUCGAAUCCCUCCCUCUCCG